This 655-nucleotide unclassified non-coding RNA is filed under the name Hevea brasiliensis (rubber tree). The record is from RNAcentral. Lineage: Eukaryota; Viridiplantae; Streptophyta; Magnoliopsida; Malpighiales; Euphorbiaceae.
UAGCAGAUAACUGAUGUAAAAGUUCAACAUUCUUGACAUUUUGAUUUGGAAAGAUAAGAUUGCAUCACAUAUCCUUCUUUUCUUUUCCCUCUACAAAUAAUAUCAUAAAAAAGAGAGAAACAAAAUGAUCUAGAGACAGAAUUUACCUUCUGGACCUCUUGAAUUAGUUGUUUUGCUCGUUUAUGAAGCCUUUGAAAUUUGGAAUCAAGUUCAGAAUACUUCUCUUCACACUCUUUUAUUUCUUUAUCUAACUACUGUUAAGCUACCCAAAGAAACCAUGCUAUGAAUUCAGAGUUUUGACACAAUAGUGGAUAAAAGGACAGUGAGAUCAUACCUCAAACUACAUGAACUUGAACAUCAUGCAAUUCCAAAAAUUCUCUUUUCUUUUCUUUUUUUUAAAGAUUUUCACAAGGCAAAGCACAUCUAACCCUCUUGCCCACAGAUAUAAAUAAUCAUUUCUCCAGACAUAUAACUUGUAUUAUAAUUUCAUCAUUUUAUCAAUAAUUUUUAGCAUGGAACUUUAACUAUAAGCAACAUCAAAAAGUUACAAGCACUACACUUCAAUAAACGAUCAUAAUUAAACAAGAUCUCACUGAAAUAGUAUUAAACUCCAAAUAAACAGACAAUCUGACCUUCAGCAAGCUUUGCAGAUUGC